AUUGUGCCUCUUAGUGUUCCCAGGUGGUGUGGGUUUUCCAUCUGAGUUAGGAGGUAACAAAGAAAAGAUGGGAGAAGUCAACAGUUACUUUCCUUUCAAG
Small nucleolar RNA from Pipistrellus kuhlii (Kuhl's pipistrelle), 100 nucleotides. RefSeq annotates it as small nucleolar RNA SNORA17. The record is from RefSeq and is a predicted model, not a curated record. The transcript has a single exon. Lineage: Eukaryota; Metazoa; Chordata; Mammalia; Chiroptera; Vespertilionidae.